RNAcentral lists this ribosomal RNA (720 nucleotides) under Micrommata virescens. Its description in RNAcentral is "partial large subunit ribosomal RNA". The record is from RNAcentral. Lineage: Eukaryota; Metazoa; Arthropoda; Arachnida; Araneae; Sparassidae.
CUGGAGCGGCGGGCGUGCGGGUCGGAAGAUCCGAGCAGGGCUUCCCCGAACGGGGCCGUCUGACUGCACGCAUCCCUCUUCGCCCGACGCAUUUGUCUCCCGCCCGAAGGACGCCGCAGCCGGUUGGGCAGCUGCAAGCGCGACGGCCAGAAGGGCGGACGAUGGCAGGUGGCCGGUGGCAGGCUUCGUGCCCGUCGCCGGUUGUUAGCCGGUCCGCCAGUGGCUCGUCGCCCGACCGAGGUGUCACGAGGCCCUUCGGGGCCCCCACGUCUCCUCYUUACGGAUGUCGGGACUGGGCGUCGCAGGUGAGUUCCGCCGUCGGUUCGCACUCCCGAGAGUGGAACCGCGAAAGGAGCGCUCCGUUGGUGAUGCCGGACCCGUCGGAGGCCGGAGGCUGGCGGCGAGUAGGUCGGUCACCCACCCGACCCGUCUUGAAACACGGACCAAGGAGUCUAACAUGUGCGCGAGUCAGUGGGUCUUGAAUAGGCCCACGGGCGCAAUGAAAGCAAAGGUCGUCCCAGCGGCGACCGAGUUGGGAUCCCUCCAACGAAUGGAGGGCGCACCAACGACCCGUCCUAUUCGCUUCGCCGAUUGGGCGGAGUGUGAGCGCACACGUUGGGACCCGAAAGAUGGUGAACUAUGCCCAGACAGGAUGAAGCCAGAGGAAACUCUGGUGGAGGUCCGCUAACGGUUCUGACGUGCAAAUCGAUCGCCAGAUCC